ACGUUCUUGUUUGACAAGGAAACUGGCGCGUUCGCGCCUCAAGAACAGGUCACGUCGUAAACCACAAUAUCCCAACCCAGCGGUGCGGUGCCGUGGGAAUCCUCGCGCUUCAGCGCGGGGAGGAUGUCAACUCCUGACGAAC
RNAcentral lists this unclassified non-coding RNA (142 nucleotides) under Halopenitus malekzadehii. RNAcentral describes it as "HgcC family RNA". The stretch from base 1 to 121 matches the Rfam family "Sense overlapping transcript RNA 0042 (sot)", at positions 66 to 174 of the family's 174-position model. From Rfam's summary of the family: It is associated with IS1341-type transposase (tnpB) genes, at the 3'-end in H. salinarum NRC-1. The tetraloop structural motif may be functional. The record is from RNAcentral. Lineage: Archaea; Methanobacteriati; Methanobacteriota; Halobacteria; Halobacteriales; Haloferacaceae.